UAGUUAUUGUUGCAAACUCCAUUAGAAAUUUGAAUUGAUAUCAGUUUUGGAAAAAGGGAAACGGGGAUGUGAAAAAAAGGGGGGGUUUAAAUUUUUCUCAUUUCAGAUUUCAUAAAUAAAAAGAAAAUUUCUUCAAACAUUUUUUUGAGAGGAUUAAUAUUCAACAGCAUAGUGAAUUGCUCAAAGGCAAAAAAAAAAACUUUUAAGUUCAUUAGACCACAUUCAUUCUGUGUCAGAAACCUAUGCUGUGUCAACUAUUUAAUUUUAGAUUUAAAAAGUUUGAAGAAAUCUUUAAUUGAUUUGUAAAAUCUUGACAUUUGUUUUGUGUAAAAAAAAACAUAUAAUGUCAAAAAUUUGAUCACAAUCCAAAUUCAGAGCUGUAUCACGCUUGAAUGUUUUGUCCAUACUUGCCCCAACUGUUCAGGGUUCGACCUCUGCGGUCGUAUAAAGCUGCGCCCUGCGGAGCACCUGGUUUUUUCUGUCAACAUGUAA
This 492-nucleotide long non-coding RNA is filed under the name Mytilus galloprovincialis (Mediterranean mussel). The record is from RNAcentral. Lineage: Eukaryota; Metazoa; Mollusca; Bivalvia; Mytilida; Mytilidae.